Molecule: long non-coding RNA, 1125 nt
Organism: Xenia sp. Carnegie-2017
Lineage: Eukaryota; Metazoa; Cnidaria; Anthozoa; Malacalcyonacea; Xeniidae
Exons: 2
Source: RefSeq, a predicted model, not a curated record
GCGCUCUAUAACAGAAGAUGAAAGAUCAAUAGAUACAGAUGCUCUCAGCUCUUUUCCUAAAAAAUGAUGCACAUUUUAAAAAGUCUGCUCUUUUUUCCAGCGAUAACUUGAACAAUAUUCAAGGAUAUUAAGAAAUCCUUGCACUUUUGUGGACGUUUUCAUAAGUCGUUUGACCUUUUGCAGGUUAUACCUAUUUGCUACAAUUUUAGCAAAAACAAUUAAAAGCACGGCCGUGACAUAGAUGUAUAAAUGAUGAAUUUGAAAUUGCAUAUUUUGUCCUUUGAGACUUGAGCGAUAUAAUCUACAAAAAAUAACUGGGCAAAGAUUUUUCCAAAAGUUUGUAACAAAUCUAAUAUUUGUAAUCAGAAAGGUAAGAUACUAAACAAAUAAAGUAAUUAUAAGUCGUAUUAAAGAUACAAAAUGAAAUGACCUAUAAAAAUAAGCUUAAUCAGUACUAAAAUUUACAAAAGAUGGCGUCGUAUUUUAUAUAGACUAUUAUAGUUAUUAUGGAGUUCACUGUUGAUAUAACAUGGGUUGCAACGUUACUGCGGUGCCUUAAUAGAGUUCUUUUACGUGUGUUUUCAUUACAACAAUAUUCAAAUGUUGAAGCAGCAUUGGAAGAGCAGAGAUGGCAGUUCAGGAAGAAAACAAGCAGAAAGAUGAGGGGAUGAAAACAUUGUGUUGGCUAAUAACACAUAGAAUGUUUUAUCAACUUUAACAUGAUAUGGACUAUUAACUGUUUGAGACGGAACAUCGUGUCUUGGCAUCAUACUCACGCAUUGCGAGUCAGGAGCACCGUCAGAAUGACAUCUAGCUACAUGGAAUAGAGUUAAAAAGAGAAAAAUGAUUACAGAAACUGACAUUUGUAGCUUAUGCUCGAUGAAUUUUUUUAUGUUUAGCGUCGAUGACAAAUGCUAAUAAUUUAUGAUCGUAAUUAUAAACAUCUGUCAUUCGUUUUUAACAUUUGCAUAUGUAUAUUAUCAUUGCACACAUCUCGUUAGAAAAAUGUCCGGCAGGGUUUCCUUUGUCAACGAUCGAAGCAACAUCGGGACUAAAUAUUUUUUGUGAAAAUUACAUAAAUAUGUUGUACAUGAACUUUGGUGGCAAUUAAAUCAAAUUCUUUAA